UCCCUGGCAGUCCAGACGUUAAGACUCCACGCUUCAAAUGUAGAGGGUACAGGUUCAAUCCCUGGUCAGGGAA
Molecule: transfer RNA, 73 nt
Filed under: Bos taurus (domestic cattle)
Lineage: Eukaryota; Metazoa; Chordata; Mammalia; Artiodactyla; Bovidae
Also listed under: 5 other names
Rfam family: tRNA
About the family: Transfer RNA (tRNA) molecules are approximately 80 nucleotides in length. Their secondary structure includes four short double-helical elements and three loops (D, anti-codon, and T loops).
Source: Rfam by way of RNAcentral